CUCGGGUGAACGGAGGGGGAGUGUCAGGGGCCCCCCGUACACAUGCUCGUACAUACAUACGUACAUAUACAUACGAGUAUGUACGUGCAUAUACAUCAGCUACAUACGCUAAUAUUUAUACGCCCUUAUGGUGAAUAGUGGAGUUCAAGGCUGAAAUUUUAUCUCGUCUCGGCAGUACCUUCAGGAAAACCUAAAUACAUACAUUUUUUAUAGGAGGCUGCACACAAAACCCGGUGGAUGUAUAUGGAACUAGACGAAAAAAGAACGGUCGGACGGACAGACUUGGCUAUAUUGACCAGAUUAUUGAUGCUGAUCGAGAAUAUAUAUAUUGGGUUACAUAUGCCAGGUAAAAACUCUUUUUUUUUUUUGUCUCAACUACUUUGGUCCCCAAGACAAACAUAUCAACUAUUGUUGCUUUCACUUUGCUUUUUUUGGCAUCCCUGUUGUAGUGUCACGUGGCGGUUUCGCACUCAGGGAUGUUCAUGAAAGUAUGUAUGAAUACCGUAAUUCUGCGCACUUCGCUAGGCUUUCAGGACAUAGUUCAGAUUAUUCACCAAAUAAUGAUUUUUUAUACUUUUAAAAUUAUGUUUCUUUAUUAUUCAACGCCGCUUGCUUUUUUCGACUUAAAAGCUAUAGUUUCUGGUGUAGAAAAUAUGAACGCAAGGCUGGAUAAAAUAUUAUCUUGGAACCUAAUAAUGAAAACUACCAGCGCCCACGACCGUUUCCGCCUGCACCA
Long non-coding RNA from Drosophila miranda, 736 nucleotides. RefSeq lists it as uncharacterized. The record is from RefSeq and is a predicted model, not a curated record. The transcript has 3 exons. Lineage: Eukaryota; Metazoa; Arthropoda; Insecta; Diptera; Drosophilidae.